RNAcentral lists this long non-coding RNA (264 nucleotides) under Lathyrus oleraceus (garden pea). RNAcentral's name for it is "Pisum sativum (pea) long non-coding RNA (PSAT_LNC032816)". Lineage: Eukaryota; Viridiplantae; Streptophyta; Magnoliopsida; Fabales; Fabaceae. The record is from RNAcentral.
UAAGAAGUAUAAAAAGAAUUACAAGUUGAGUCAAGAACUACCUUAGGGUAGAUGUUUUCUGGUUCUUCAACUGUUUUGUUCUGAGGUUCAUAUGGUAUUUGGUUAUCAGGAUGAGAGAUGUCUUGAUUUUUCUCUUCUCCUUCUUCUUCUUUUUCUUUUUGUUGUUCUUAUUCUCUCCCCAUUUCCUUUCCUUUUUCUUGGUGGGAAGGACCAACGGUCGAGGCAACAAUUUCUUCAUGGAUUUAGGUUUUUAGGGAGUUCUUU